This 516-nucleotide unclassified non-coding RNA is filed under the name Hevea brasiliensis (rubber tree). Lineage: Eukaryota; Viridiplantae; Streptophyta; Magnoliopsida; Malpighiales; Euphorbiaceae. The record is from RNAcentral.
AAUGGGUUUGGCAUACAUCUUAAGGUGGAUUGUGGGUUUUUGAAAUUUCAAUGGUUUAAAAAUGUAUAAAUAAGGUGAAUUGUGAAAGUUAUUGAAUGCAAUCAUUAUAUGAUUUAUGGUAGAAGAGUAUUCUCCACUGAAAAUUUUGUGGUUUAGUUAGUGUUGGAUUUUUAUGACUUUAAUUGCAUGGUUUUGGAGUGAACCUGAUAAAUAAGUUUGACAUAUUAUGAUGAUUAUUAUUUUUAUAGGUUCAAUAGUCAAUAUAUUCACGUGGUCUUCCAUUGUAAUUAGAGAACAUAGAAAAGAAAAGGCAUGCACCUGUUUAAGGUAUCUGGGUUCAGUAAUGAGAAAAAUAAAAUUUCUUCUUUGGCCUUGGUAGCAGCUGCAUGAUUUAUAAAAUUUUAAAGUAGUUAGACAUGAUAUCAUUUUUAGGAUGAUAUGUUUUCAUGAUUAGGGACUGAAAUGGCACUGUCAAAGAAAGAUGGUAUUUUAGAAUUUACACAUUAAAGGUUCUUG